This is a long non-coding RNA of Cavia porcellus (domestic guinea pig), 524 nucleotides long. RefSeq lists it as uncharacterized. The record is from RefSeq and is a predicted model, not a curated record. Lineage: Eukaryota; Metazoa; Chordata; Mammalia; Rodentia; Caviidae. The transcript is spliced from 2 exons.
UAUUAGUUCUAGAGGUGGAGAAACCCGAGCAGGCUCCGGGAUUCUGAUAAGAGCAACCGUGCCUGCCGCCACAACUUCGGCCCCUGCGGGCAAAGACGGUCGCUAGGGAGGAGAGUGGAGGUGGAGGGUACCCAGACUGCUGCCCGCUGCAUGGCUGACUGGCUUUCACGGUCGUCUGCAGAGGCAGGACGGAGACGGCCGUUGCUAUUGCGGAAAGAGGCUCCACGGAGGGACAGCCACCUCAGGGUGGCGCUCCUCAGUGGCAGGCUCCUCGGGUGGGCGUUGCCUCCCACAGGCCUGAAAGCAGGUGGAGUUUGCGAGUGUGAAGACUCCGGUUGGAAAAGAAAAUCUUGGUGUCUUUGUGCAGAGACCCCUCCCCCUAGGUAAAGACGGAACUAAGCCACCAAGAAAGAUGAUGUGAGUUAUUGUCUAACAAUAUGUGAAAACGUAGUGGUGUGGUUCCCUCAGGUAAUCACACUUUGAACUUUCUAGAGGAAAUAAAAGCUGUAUAUUUUCAAUCUUAA